GGAGUUAGCCGGUGCUUCUUCUGUGAGUGAUGUCCUUCCUGCCGGUUAUUGACCCGCAGGCCUUCUUCCUCACUGAAAGUGCUUUACAACCCGAAGGCCUUCUUCACACACGCGGCAUGGCUGGAUCAGGGUUGCCCCCAUUGUCCAAUAUUCCCCACUGCUGCCUCCCGUAGGAGUCUGGGCCGUGUCUCAGUCCCAGUGUGGCUGAUCAUCCUCUCAGACCAGCUACGGAUCGUCGCCUUGGUGAGCCGUUACCUCACCAACCAGCUAAUCCGACAUAGGCUCAUCCGAUAGCGCGAGGCCCGAAGGUCCCCCGCUUUCCCCCGUAGGGCGUAUGCGGUAUUAGCCUGGGUUUCCCCAGGUUAUCCCCCACUACCGGGGCAGAUUCCUAUGCAUUACUCACCCGUCCGCCGCUCGCCACCAGGGAGCAAGCUCCCCGUGCUGCCGCUCGACUUGCAUGUGUUAGGCCUGCCGCCAGCGUUCAAUCUGAGCCAGGAUCAAACUCUGA
RNAcentral lists this ribosomal RNA (508 nucleotides) under uncultured bacterium. RNAcentral describes it as "partial 16S ribosomal RNA". The record is from RNAcentral.